CCUGCCCAGUGACUCUGUUCAACGGCCGCGGUAUCCUAACCGUGCGAAGGUAGCGUAAUCACUUGUUCUUUAAAUGAGGACUAGUAUGAAUGGCACCACGAGGGUUACACUGUCUCCUUUUUCUAAUCAGUGAAACUAAUCUUCCCGUGAAGAAGCGGGAAUAAACAUAUAAGACGAGAAGACCCUAUGGAGCUUUAAACUUAAUAACACUUGCUUUUAAAUAUCUACACUUCAGAGUAAUAAACACCCAUUACGGCCUCAUGAUUAUUAGUUUUAGGUUGGGGUGACCGCGGAGUAAAAAACAACCUCCACAUUGAAUGGGAAAUACCCCCUGAGCUAUGAGCUACAACUCUACGCACCAAUAAAUUGACAUCUAUUGACCCAAUACAUUGAUCAACGAACCAAGUUACCCUAGGGAUAACAGCGCAAUCCACCUCAAGAGCUCCUAUCGACAGGCGGGUUUACGACCUCGAUGUUGGAUCAGGGUAUCCCAGUGGUGCAGCCGCUACUAAAGGUUCGUUUGUUCAACGAUUAAAACCCU
Molecule: ribosomal RNA, 541 nt
Filed under: Hyla intermedia (Italian tree frog)
Lineage: Eukaryota; Metazoa; Chordata; Amphibia; Anura; Hylidae
Description: partial 16S ribosomal RNA
Rfam family: Bacterial large subunit ribosomal RNA
Source: RNAcentral